GCCCCCGUAGCUCAACUAGGUAGAGCAACGGACUUUUAAUCCGGUGGUUGCAGGUUCAAUUCCUGCCGGGGGCA
Molecule: transfer RNA, 74 nt
Filed under: Patescibacteria group bacterium
Lineage: Bacteria
Description: tRNA-Lys
Rfam family: tRNA
About the family: Transfer RNA (tRNA) molecules are approximately 80 nucleotides in length. Their secondary structure includes four short double-helical elements and three loops (D, anti-codon, and T loops).
Source: RNAcentral